CAGCCGCCGCGGGAAUACGAACCGUGCGAACGUUAUUCGGAAUUACUGGGCUUAAAGCGCGUGUAGGCGGGCCGCCACGUCGGUUGCUGAAAUCCCCCGGCUCAACCGGGGAAGUGGCAUCGAUACGAGCGGCCUUGAGGGGGGUAGGGGGAUCUGGAACUUCCGGUGGAGCGGUGAAAUGCGUUGAGAUCGGAAGGAACGCCCGUGGCGAAAGCGAGGUCCUGGACCCUUUCUGACGCUGAGACGCGAAAGCCAGGGGAGCGAACGGGAUUAGAUACCCCCGUAGUCCCUGUCUCUUAUA
This 301-nucleotide ribosomal RNA is filed under the name uncultured bacterium. RNAcentral's name for it is "partial 16S ribosomal RNA". It matches the Rfam family "Bacterial small subunit ribosomal RNA", at positions 509 to 807 of the family's 1533-position model. The record is from RNAcentral.